AACAGGAUACAUUAGUUAUUAUAACAAUGUAUCUUUUCAUUAUAAAUAAAUAUAUUAUAACAAUUUAUUUAUCUAUUAUAAACAUAGAUGCUCUUUUCAUGGUCAAAUGUUGUAACUCACUUGAUAUUAGUUGGAUUCCAUUAGUUAUUAUGACAAUUGAAUGAGUCUCCCCAUCAUACUCUGUGUAACAUGAUACAUUUUUAUGUCAGUGUUCAUUUUACAAAUGUAGCAAAUUAUAAGAGUCUUAACAUGUUCUAUGGAUUAUACAUUUAACUAGGGAAUGUCUCUUUGUUUCUUGCUUGAGAUAUUGCUUGAAAUUUCUAGAGUUGACUAGUUGAAGGCACUCCAGAGUAUCAAUUCAAUUGAACAAGGGACAACUGUAUGCUGCUAACGGGUUGUCUUAAUUGUAAACCCUAAAUUUUCAUUGACUCUCUCUGCUAGAUGUACACGAUAUAAGCACUAUCAUUACAUCACCUGUUCAACUUGUGAUCUGUGUUUUGAAUAGUAUUGUACCUUCUCUUUUCCUUCUACAAUUUACAUUCAUUGGUUGAAGUCCUUUUUUUUUUAAUUUUUCAGCAUAAUUUUCAACUUCUGCUAUUCUAAAAGUUUACAGUUACAUUAUAUCACAGCCCAUUACAUCACCUGUUCAACUUGUGAUCUGUGUUUUGAAUAGUAUUGUACCUUCUCUUUUCCUUCUACAAUUUACAUUCAUUGGUUGAAGUCCUUUUUUUUUUUUUUUUUUUUUUUUAAUUUUUCAGCAUAAUUUUCAACUUCUGCUAUUCUAAAAGUUUACAGUUACAUUAUAUCACAACCCAUUACAGCACUUCAAAUUUUGCUUGGCUAUUUGAAAGCUUUUGUAUAAGCUUUUCCGACCUUCGUGGUGUUAUCCUUAUGUUAUUUUCUUUUCUUAUUCUCUGCCCUAUUUAUUCUACCUUUAUUCUUUAUAAAACCAAAAAUUGCAUCAGUCUGAAUUUUUCGAUCCAUAUUUAUUAUUAUGAACUUUUUGCAUUGAUAGCUUUUUGUUAUGCUUACCAGCAUCACAUCCUACUAAAUCAAAAUAUCAUUUUGUGGAUCCUCUUUCCCACUCAUAAAUCAGAGUUCUUGAACAGUUGUCCCCCCAUUAUGGUGUCCUCAAAAGAAGCAAAUACACCUAACUAUUCCUAGCAUUUAUUUGCAUGCACUUGAGGUUGCUUCUAUACCAAUUCAAUGUUCAUAUGUGAAACCUUCUUAGUCACUUUUGCCAUGCAAGAUUGUUUUGAAAGACCAAGCUUUCCAUGCUAAGAUGUAAAUAAGUCAAUUUUUAAUUUUCAAGCUCCACCAAUAUAUGCCACUAAAUUUCAGGCUUAUUGUUAUUGAUUUCAUAGGUUGAACUGAAACGAAAAUCAUGGUAGCUCUCACGCCAUCUUGCAAUUAACCUGCGACAACCAUUUUUACUUCGACUUAACCAUGAUUUCUGAUAUAUUUGUUAUUUAAGA
This 1475-nucleotide long non-coding RNA is filed under the name Theobroma cacao (cacao). RNAcentral's name for it is "long non-coding RNA (TCAC_LNC000116)". Lineage: Eukaryota; Viridiplantae; Streptophyta; Magnoliopsida; Malvales; Malvaceae. The record is from RNAcentral.